Molecule: ribosomal RNA, 253 nt
Filed under: uncultured bacterium
Lineage: Bacteria
Description: partial 16S ribosomal RNA
Rfam family: Archaeal small subunit ribosomal RNA
Source: RNAcentral
UACCAGCACCCCGAGUGGUCGGGACGAUUAUUGGGCCUAAAGCAUCCGUAGCCGGUUUUACAAGUCCUCCGUUAAAUCCAGCUGCUUAACAGAUGGGCUGCGGAGGAUACUAUAAGACUAGGAGGCAGGAGAGGCAAGCGGUACUCAGUGGGUAGGGGUAAAAUCCGUUGAUCCAUUGAAGACCACCAGUGGCGAAGGCGUCUUGCCAGAACGCGCUCGACGGUGAGGGAUGAAAGCUGGGGGAGCAAACCGG